This 460-nucleotide ribosomal RNA is filed under the name uncultured bacterium. RNAcentral describes it as "partial 16S ribosomal RNA". It matches the Rfam family "Bacterial small subunit ribosomal RNA", at positions 338 to 795 of the family's 1533-position model. The record is from RNAcentral.
CCUACGGGGGGCAGCAGUGAGGAAUAUUGGUCAAUGGCCGGAAGGCUGAACCAGCCAUGCCGCGUGAAGGUCAGUGCCCUAUGGGCGUUAAACUUCUUUUGUGCGGGAGCAAUAAUGGUCACGUGUGGCCAGACGAGAGUACCGUACGAAUAAGCAUCGGCUAACUCCGUGCCAGCAGCCGCGUUAAUACGGGGGAUGCAAGCGUUAUCCGGAUUUAUUGGGGUUAAAGGGUGCGUAGGCUGUGAGGUAAGUCAGCGGUGAAAUGCCCCCGCUCAACGGGGUGAAGUGCCAUUGAUACUGCCUUGCUGGAAUGCGGAUGCCGUGGGAGGAAUGUGUGGUGUAGUGGUGAAAUGCAUAGAUAUCACACAGAACACCGAUUGCGAAGGCAUCUCACGAAUCCGCGAUUGACGCUGAUGCACGAAAGCGUGGGUAUCAAACAGGAUUAGAUACCCGAGUAGUC